ACUAUCUCAAGGAUGAGAUCGAGGAGCUGCGAGCAGAGAUGCUGGAGAUGCGGGACGUCUACAUGGAGGAGGACGUGUACCAGCUACAGGAACUGCGCCAGCAGCUGGACCAGGCCAGCAAGACCUGCCGCAUCCUGCAAUACCGGCUGCGCAAGGCCGAGCGCCGCAGCCUCCGCGCUGCUCAGACUGGCCAGGUGGACGGCGAGCUCAUCCGAGGCCUGGAGCAGGACGUCAAGGUCUCUAAGGACAUCUCCGUGCGGCUGCAUAAGGAGCUCGAGGUGGUGGAGAAGAAACGGGUGCGCCUGGAGGAGGAGAAUGAGGAGCUUCGACAGCGGCUCAUCGAGACCGAGCUGGCUAAGCAGGUGCUGCAGACAGAGCUGGAGCGGCCAAGAGAGCAUUCCUUGAAGAAAAGAGGAACGCGUUCCUUGGGAAAGACAGACAAGAAGCCUUCGGUGCAGGAGGACAGUGCAGACCUGAAGUGCCAGCUGCACUUCGCAAAGGAGGAGUCGGCCCUCAUGUGCAAGAAGCUCACCAAGCUGGUCAAGGAAAACGACAGCAUGAAGGAGGAGCUGCUCAAGUACCGCUCGCUCUACGGUGAUCUAGACAGCGCCCUGUCGGCCGAGGAGCUGGCAGAUGCACCCCACUCGCGGGAGACCGAGCUGAAGGUGCAUCUGAAGCUGGUGGAGGAGGAGGCCAACCUGCUGAGCCGCCGCAUCGUGGAGCUGGAGGUGGAGAACCGAGGCUUGCGGGCCGAGAUGGACGACAUGAAGGACCACGGUGGCAGUGGUGGGGGCCCGGAGGCACGCCUGGCCUUCUCUGCGCUGGGUGGCGGUGAGUGUGGGGAGAGCUUGGCAGAACUGCGGCGACACCUGCAGUUUGUGGAGGAGGAGGCAGAGCUGCUGCGGCGCUCCUCGGCCGAACUUGAGGACCAGAACAAACUACUGCUGGGCGAGCUGGCCAAAUACCGUUCAGAGCACGAGCUGGACGUGACGCUGUCAGAGGACAGCUGCUCCGUGCUCAGCGAGCCCUCGCAGGAGGAGCUGGCGGCCGCCAAACUGCAGAUCGGUGAGCUCAGUGGCAAAGUCAAGAAGCUCCAGUAUGAGAACCGUGUGCUCCUGUCCAACCUCCAGCGCUGCGAUCUGGCCUCCUGCCAGAGAACACGGCCAAUGCUGGAGACGGACGCCGAGGCGGGGGACUCUGCCCAGUGCGUGCCCGCUGCCCUUGGCGAGGCCCAUGGCCCCCAUGCCACCCGGCUCUGCAGAGCCAGGGAUGCUGAAGUGCUGCCUGGUCUGCGGGAGCAGGCCGCCCUGGUCAGCAAGGCCAUUGACAUCCUGGUGGCCGACGCUAACGGCUUCUCAGCUGGCCUCCGCCUGUAUCUGGACAACGAGUGUGCCGACUUUCGGCUGCACGAGGCCCCCGACAACAGUGAGGGCCCCAGGGACACCAAGCUCAUCCAUGCUAUCCUGGUUCGGCUGAGCAUGCUGCAGCAGGAGCUUAACGCCUUCACGCGGAAGGCAGACGCGGUCCUUGGGAGUUCUGCCAAGGAGGCGCAAGAGCCCUUCUCGUCGCUGACCCCCUGUGGCUCCCAGGGGCCCUCCAAGGAGAUUCUUCUGGCCAAAGACCUUGGCUCAGACUUCCAGGUGCAGCCACCUGACUUCAGGGACCUGCCGGAAUGGGAGCCCAGGAUACGAGAGGCCUUCCGCACUGGUGACUUGGACUCCAAGCCCGACCCCAGCCGGAGCUUCAGGCCUUACCGAGCUGAAGACAACGAUUCCUACGCCUCUGAGAUCAAGGAGCUGCAGCUGGUGCUGGCCGAGGCCCACGACAGCCUCCGGGGCCUGCAAGAACAGCUCUCCCAGGAGCGGCAGCUACGGAAGGAGGAGGCUGACAACUUCAACCAGAAAAUGGUCCAGCUGAAGGAGGACCAGCAGAGGGCGCUCCUGAGGCGGGAGUUUGAGCUGCAGAGCCUGAGUCUCCAGCGCAGGCUGGAGCAGAAGUUCUGGAGCCAGGAGAAGAACAUGCUGGUGCAGGAGUCCCAGCAGUUCAAGCACAACUUCCUGCUGCUCUUCAUGAAGCUCCGGUGGUUCCUCAAGCGCUGGCGGCAGGGCAAGGUUUUGCCCAGCGAGCGGGAUGACUUCCUUGAGGUAAAUAGCAUGAAGGAGCUGUACUUGCUGAUGGAGGAAGAGGAAUUAAAUGCCCAGCAUUCUGAUAACAAGACCUGCACGGGGGACAGCUGGACCCAAAACACGCCCAAUGAGUACAUUAAGACGCUGGCCGACAUGAAGGUGACACUCAAGGAGCUGUGCUGGCUGCUCCGGGAUGAGCGCCGGGGUCUGACUGAGCUUCAGCAGCAGUUUGCCAAGGCCAAGGCCACCUGGGAGACGGAGCGUGCAGAGCUCAAGAGUCACACCACCCAGAUAGAGCUGAAGGCCGGGAAGGGCGCUGGGGAACGGACAGGGCCCGAGUGGAAGGCCGCCCUCCAGAGGGAGCGGGAGGAGCAGCAGCACCUCCUGGCUGAGUCCUACAGCGCUGUCAUGGAGCUGACGCGGCAGCUGCAGGUCAGCGAGCGCAACUGGAGCCAGGAGAAGCUACAGCUGGUGGAACGGCUUCAGGGGGAGAAGCAGCAGGUGGAGCAGCAGGUAAAGGAGCUGCAGAACCGCCUGAGCCAGCUGCAGAAGGCUGCCGACCCCUGGGUCCUGAAGCACUCAGACUUGGAGAAGCAGGACAACAGUUGGAAAGAGACACGCAGUGAAAAGAUCCACGACAAGGAGGCUGUUUCUGAAGCUGAGCUUGGGGGAACCGGCUUAAAGAGGACCAAAUCUGUUUCCUCCAUGUCUGAGUUUGAAAGUUUGCUUGACUGUUCCCCCUACCUGGCCAGUGAAGCUGCCCGGGGCAAGAAGCUGCCCAACAACCCUGCCUUUGCCUUUGUGGGCACCCAGCCGGUGGACCCAGAGAAGGAUGCCCAGGCACAGCCACGGGACUGCGGCCGCCUGGGCGCCCUGGCCUGCCAGGACCCGGCAGGGAGGCAGAUGCAGCGCAGCUACACAGCUCCCGACAAGACGGGCAUUCGUGUCUACUACAGCCCCCCUGUGGCCCGGCGCCUGGGUGUCCCCGUGGUCCAUGAUAGGGAGGGCAAGAUCAUCAUCGAGCCCGGCUUCCUCUUCACCACCGCCAAGCCCAAGGAGUCGGCAGAGGCCAAUGGGCUGGCUGAAAGUUCCUACGGCCGGUGGCUGUGCAACUUCUCACGGCAGCGCCUGGACGGGGGCUCAGGGGGCGGCUCCCCGGCGGCGGGGCCUGGGUUCCCAGCAGCCCUGCACAACUUGGAGAUGUCAGGCAACAUGAGUGACGACAUGAAGGAGAUCACCAACUGUGUGCGCCAGGCCAUGCGCUCAGGCUCGCUGGAAAGGAAAGUGAAGAGCACGUCCAGCCAGACGGUGGGCCUGGCCAGUGUGGGCACCCAGACCACCCGCAUGGUCAGCGUGGGCCUGCAGACCGACCUGCCCCGCAGCAGCCUCCACGGCAAGAGCUGGUCACCCCGCAGCUCCUCACUCGUGUCCGUGCGCAGCAAGCAGAUCUCCUCCUCCCUGGACAAGGUGCACUCACGCAUCGAGCGGCCGUGUUGCUCGCCCAAGUAUGGCUCGCCAAAGCUCCAGAGGCGGUCUGUGUCCAAGCUGGACGGUGCCAAGGACCGCAGCCUGUGGAACCUACACCAGGGCAAGCAGAAUGGCUCGGCCUGGGCCCGCUCCACCACGACGCGGGACAGCCCCGUGUUGAGGAAUAUCAACGACGGGCUGUCCAGUCUCUUCAGUGUGGUGGAGCACUCGGGGAGCACGGAGUCCGUCUGGAAACUGGGCAUGUCUGAGGCCCGGGCCAAGCCCGAGCCUCCCAAGUACGGCAUCGUGCAGGAGUUCUUCCGCAACGUGUGCGGCCGGGCCCCCAGCCCCACCUCAGUGGCAGGGGAGGAGAGCACCAAGAAGCCGGAGCCCCUCUCCCCGGCCAGCUACCAUCAGCCAGAGGGCAUGGCUAGGAUCCUGAACAAGAAGGCACCCAAGUCAGGCAGCAGCGAGGAGGCCAGACUCUCCGUACUCCCCCAGGUGGGGAAAGAUGGUAUCCUCCGGGACGCAGAUGGAACCCCAGUCCUUCCCAGUGAGGAUGCUGUUUGUGACUGCAGCACCCAGUCUCUCACCUCCUGCUUCGCCCGGCCAUCCCGCUCUGCCAUUCGCCACUCUCCUUCCAAGUGCAGGCUGCACCCUUCAGAGUCCAGCUGGGGUGGGGAAGAGAAAGCAGCCCCUCCCAGCGAGUGACAGCAGCUGAGCUCCCUGCCUCGACCAGCCCAGGCCAUGGACAGCAGAAGGAAACCAGCGGAGAGGAGGGUCAUGCCCUCCGCAUCGCCUUGCCCUGGGGGGUAGCAGCUGCACCACUGCUAGAGAACAGCUUUCAAUCCCCAAGAUGAGGAGUCAGGCCCAGAGAAGAGAAUGGCUCACCCAAGUUCACACAGCAAACUAGAGGCAGAGCCAGGACCAAAACCCAGGUUUUGGCAUCUGUGAUCUUGGUUGUGCCUCUUCCUCUAUCUGGGCUGUCUGCUCACUUCCCACCUCUCAUCUAUCCUCUCUUUUACCAUCUUCUUCCAAAGUUUCCCCUCCCCCUGCCUCCUCUUCUCUGCUGGUUCCUGCCCGCAGACCCAGUGCCCUGGCCAAUGGCCAGGUUUUCCUCUUCUGGACCCUGAGCUUACUUGUAGCAUCCAUCCCUCAGCCCUCCCAGAAUGGUCUCCCCAGUACUACUCCCCUCCCAUGGAUUUCCCUGUAACCUCAGCACCUCACAUCCCCCUUCCCCCUGUCCCCAGGCUCAUAUUCCUGUCUUAUCAGGGAAGUGCCCAAGGUUGGUCUUCCAACUCAUGUUUGCUUUCAGAUCAGGGGGUGUUUUCUGGGUUCUGUUUUAUUUUGUGUUUUCUCACACCAAAGGGGGCACCUUUCCCCAAUGCCUUAGGUGGCAUCAGCCUUACCAGCCCUUCUCAUUGGGCUCGGCCCCAGCCAACCCCCAGUCCAGAAACAUCUCCUAGUCCCAUCUUUGAGUCACAUUAUCUUCUCUAUCCACAGCCUGCCGGAAGGACCCCAGCAUUUCCCACUGUGUGUGUGUGUGUGGGGGGGGGGGGGGGCGGGGGUGUUGGAUCCUCACUUCUGGCCUCUACCCUGCCCAGUCCUGCAUGGCCUUGGUUGAGGAGAUGCAGCCUGGCUUGGGGUCUUCUCUCCCUGGUCAUCUGUCCAUUUGACAUCCCACCACUCUUUGCUCUCCCUUGGGCCUCACCAGCUCCGGAACAACUAGCUCAUCCUGGCUGAACCUGUAGCUGACCCUGGCUCUGCCCCUCCCCCUCCCAAAAUGCUUGCAGUUUGCAAAGUCCACAGACCCAAGAACUAAAGGAGACAUGAUGCUGGGCCUGAGUCCUGUCUGUGCCCAGGGCUCCUCCCACUCCUCCCUCAUACUCCUUGGACCAUCCCUUAUUUAUCCCAUCGACCCCGCUCCUGUCUCUUCCUGCCUUUCACCAGCCCUCUGGAUCCCAGACCCCAAGCAAAGGAGCUUUGGUUUCCUCUAAGCAUCCUUGAAGGGUUAGGGUAGUCAGGCCUGGCUGCCUUGAAACACUCCAUUCUGACACCACUCAAACUGCUCCCCUGAGGAGAAACCUCAGCCAGCAGUCUGAGACUUGCCUCAGGUCUGGGCAGACCUCUUAACUCCCCUGAGUUUAGCUGGUUGUAUAAUGUAAUCAUGAGAACUAGGGUGAUCCCUAGGGCCUUAGGGUAUCCCUCAUGUUUUGGGGUCCUGCAUCACCAUCCUCUCUUCACUGGACCCUGGUAUCCUAGCUCUUCUCUCAGCUCAGCCCCUGAUCUCUGUGCCUUAGUUCACUUCUCCGCACAGGGGAUUCACCACAAGAUGAUUCCUAGCAGCUUCCCAGUUAUUUGGUGCCUCCGAGGCUGGGCCUUGCCAGGUCACUGAGGAUGGGAUACCUGGGGGUUCUCAAAGCAGCUGGAACAUCACCUGGAAACUUGAUAGAAAUGCAAAGUAUUGGCACCAUCCGAGACCUACUGAAUUCGAACUUCUGGGCUGGGGCCCAGCAAGCUGGGGUUUAACAAGCCCUCUGGAUAAUUCUGAUAAAACAGGAGUUUGCCUACUGCUGACCUAUGCUAGCAAUUAGUGCAGCCUGGUGAGGGACUGAGGCUGGCCCAGACCAGGAACAGGUGGGAAAUACCAACUCUAGACUCCUGAAAGACUGGGAACUCUCCUUACCUGCCCCCCACCCCCACCCCAACAAAACCCAUGUCCUCCUUGGGAGCUGGAGGACAGGGAGAAGGCACACAUUUUUCCUUUUCCUGCCCCUGGCUUGGUUCCAGCUUUGCUCACCUCUCCCACUUGUCUGGGUUUUACAAAAGGUUAUGUAGGUUGUACAAGCCACGCAGGGGUUGGCAGUCCUGGGACAGGAGAAAAAGACCCUGCCCAUUUAUCCCUUGGGAACUUCAUAGGCUCAUGGCCUCUCUUCAAAUGGAAAGAAACCUAACUCAAGAGAAAAAUCCUACAUCCCCAGCUCCUCCUCCUCCCACCUCCAAGGAGAUCUUGCAGAUUGUGCCAAAAAGCAGCUCCAACCCCCAGUGACGGGAAGAGAGCCAGAAGCUGUCCUUCCUUUCCAUCCUGCCCCUCCCAACUCCUGCCAAUACUGUGAAGCCCCUUCCUGCCCAGCCUGGUUUCCUGGUGAGGGUCCUGCAGUCGAGGGCCCAGGGAAAGGUCUUCAGGAGGGAAGAAACCAAGGGCAUCCUUGGGCCAAACUGUCUGCCUCUCCUGUCCACUGUCCUCUUCUGCUCACUCCUAUCUUUAAAGGCUCCUUCCCAGGAUGGAUUGGGUGCUAGGAUGACUGUGGUCCAAUCCACCAGCUCUCCCUGCCCCUAUGUCUUAUUUCAGACAUGAGAAUAACUGUACAGUGUAAACUUACAAAGGGUUUUUAAUGGUUGUAGAUUGGAAAUAAAGUAUGUCAUAUGAACAGUUUC
Molecule: RNA transcript, 7031 nt
Organism: Myotis lucifugus (little brown bat)
Lineage: Eukaryota; Metazoa; Chordata; Mammalia; Chiroptera; Vespertilionidae
Gene: MTCL2
Gene name: suppressor of glucose, autophagy associated 1
Exons: 16
Source: RefSeq, a predicted model, not a curated record